RNAcentral lists this long non-coding RNA (238 nucleotides) under Spirodela polyrhiza (greater duckweed). Its description in RNAcentral is "long non-coding RNA (SPOL_LNC000833)". The record is from RNAcentral. Lineage: Eukaryota; Viridiplantae; Streptophyta; Magnoliopsida; Alismatales; Araceae.
UUAAUAUAGGGCAGGAUAUCACGUGUAGACGGUGCUGCCUGGCUCGCCGCGUUUUCUGGAAUGUAUUGGCGUCGGCGGGGCCGCCCGGCAGAGCUCACGGGCGGGCACCGGGCGAGGAUUCCUCCCUCUCUUUCGCCGGGGCAUGGGAGCUGCCCCUGCGGAUCAGCAUCACCUUCACAUACACCUCUAAAUGGACAACGCGACGAAACAUGUCCUUUGAAGUGGACACCACAAGAAC